Molecule: ribosomal RNA, 2954 nt
Organism: Acetohalobium arabaticum DSM 5501
Lineage: Bacteria; Bacillati; Bacillota; Clostridia; Halanaerobiales; Halobacteroidaceae
Rfam family: Bacterial large subunit ribosomal RNA
Source: Rfam
GAUCAAAUUACUAAGGGCAUACGGUGGAUAUCUAGGUGCCGGAAGUCGAUGAGGGACGUGGUAAGCUGCGAAAAGCUUCGGUUAGCUGCACACAAGUGUUGAUCCGAAGAUUUCCUAAUGGGAGUACCUGCUUUGGAGUAAUAUCCAAGCAUCUAAGCCUCAAUUCAUAGGGUUUAGAGGACAUACCAGGUGAACUGAAACAUCUCAGUAACCUAAGGAACAGAAAACAACAGUGAUUCCCCUAGUAGCGGCGAGCGAAAAGGGAAGAGCCCAAACUAUAACAGUGUAAGCUUACAGGCGUUGCUGUUAUAGCGUCGUAGGAGUUAUCAGGUAGUGCUGUAACACUACACAAGUUGAUUCUUUUCUAGUCGAAUCAUCUGGAAAGAUGAACCAUAGAAGGUGAUAGUCCUGUAGACGAAAGAAAGGAUAGACUUGAUAACUUCCUGAGUACCAUGAGUCACGUGGAACCUCGUGGGAAGUAAGGAGGACCAUCUCCUAAGGCUAAAUACUACCCGGCAACCGAUAGUGAACCAGUACCGUGAGGGAAAGAUGAAAAGAACCCCGGGAGGGGAGUGAAAUAGAAUUUGAAACCGUAUGCUUACAAGCGGUCAGAGGACUAUUUAAAGUCUGAUGGCGUGCUUUUUGCAUAACGAACCGGCGAGUUACAGAUUGUGGCCCAGGUUAAGCUUUAAAAGCGAAGCCACAGCGAAAGCGAGUCUUAAAAGGCGCAAGUCGCAGUCUGUAGACCCGAAACCGAGUGAUCUAUCCUUGGUCAGGCUGAAGCACGGGUAAGAUCGUGUGGAAGACCGAACCUAUUGGCGUUGAAAAGCCAUAGGAUGAGCUGAGGAUAGGGGUGAAAGGCCAAUCGAACUCGGAAAUAGCUGGUUCUCUCCGAAAUAGCUUUAGGGCUAGCCUUAAGUAUCUGUCUUGGCGGUAGAGCACUGAUUGGACUAGGGGCUUAAUCAAGUUACCGAAUCCAGUCAAACUCCGAACGCCAUUACAGUAAGCUUAGGAGUCAGACUACGGGGGAUAAGCUGCGUAGUCGAGAGGGAAACAACCCAGAUCGCCAGUUAAGGUCCCAAAGUAUAGACUAAGUGGUAAAGGAAGUGGAGUUGCAUAGACAACCAGGAUGUUGGCUUAGAACCAGCCAUUCAUUUAAAGAGUGCGUAACAGCUCACUGGUCGAGUGACUUUGCGCCAAAAAUGUUCGGGGCUUAAGUCUAUCACCGAAACUGCGGAUUGGUUUUACCAAUGGUAGGAGAGCAUUCUAUUUGGACCGAAGCUGUACCGAAAGGAGCAGUGGACUGAAUAGAAGAGAGAAUGCCGGUAUGAGUAACGAUAAAAUAGGUGAGAAUCCUAUUCGCCGAUAGUCUAAGGUUUCCUGAGGAAGGCUCGUCCGCUCAGGGUAAGCCGGGACCUAAGCCGAGGCCGAAAGGCGUAGGUGAUGGUUAAUCGGUCAAGAUUCCGAUGCCGCCUUUAAUCAUUUGAGUAAAGGAGUGACACAGGAAGGUAUGUCAGCAUGGUAAUGGAUAUUCCAUGUUUAAGCAGUCAGGGAGCUAAUCUAGGUAAAUCCGGAUUAGUGUUAAUCCUAAGCUGUGAUGACGACUCUCUACGGAGAGGAAGUGACAAUUCCUCGACUGUCAAGAAAAGCUUCUAGCGAGAUUAAAGGCGCCCGUACCGCAAACCGACACAGGUAGACAGGAUGAGAAUUCUAAGGCGCGCGAGAGAACCCUUGUUAAGGAACUCGGCAAAAUGACCCCGUAACUUCGGGAGAAGGGGUACCUGUCUUUGACAGGUUGCAACAACCAGGCCCAAGCGACUAUUUACCAAAAAUACAGGUCUCUGCUAAGACGCAAGUCGAAGUAUAGGGGCUGACGCCUGCCCGGUGCUGGAAGGUCAAGGGGAAGAGUUAGUCAUCUUUUGAUGAUGAAGCUUGGAACUUAAGCCCCAGUAAACGGCGGCCGUAACUAUAACGGUCCUAAGGUAGCGAAAUUCCUUGUCGGGUAAGUUCCGACCUGCACGAAUGGCGAAACGACUUGGGCGCUGUCUCAACAAGGGACUCGGUGAAAUUGAAGUGUCUGUGAAGAUGCAGGCUACCCACGACAGGACGGAAAGACCCCGUGGAGCUUUACUGCAGCCUGAUAUUGAGUUUUGGUACAAUAUGUACAGGAUAAGUGGAAGGCAUUGACACCGGAGCGCCAGUUUCGGUUAAGCCAUCCCUGGGAUACCACUCUUAUUGUUCCGGAAUUCUAACUUUGUAGCGUUAUCCGCUAUGGGGACAGUGUCAGGCAGGCAGUUUGACUGGGGCGGUCGACUCCCAAACAGUAACGGAGUCGCCCAAAGGUUCCCUCAGUACGGUUGGAAAUCGUACGUAGAGUGUAAAGGCAGAAGGGAGCUUAACUGCAAGACAUACAGGUCGAGCAGAUACGAAAGUAGGGCUUAGUGAUCCGACGGUAGAGAGUGGAAUUGCCGUCGCUCAACGGAUAAAAGUUACCCCGGGGAUAACAGGCUUAUCUUUCCCAAGAGUUCACAUCGACGGAAAGGUUUGGCACCUCGAUGUCGGCUCGUCGCAUCCUGGAGCUGGAGCAGGUUCCAAGGGUUGGGCUGUUCGCCCAUUAAAGCGGUACGCGAGCUGGGUUCAGAACGUCGUGAGACAGUUCGGUCCCUAAUCCGUCGUGGGCACAGGAGACUUGCGAGGAUCUAUCCCUAGUACGAGAGGACCGGGAUGGACGUACCUCUGGUGAACCAGUUGUUCUGCCCAGAGCAGAGCUGGGUAGCUAAGUACGGAUAAGAUAAGCGCUGAAAGCAUCUAAGCGCGAAGCCAACCUCAAGAUAAGGUUUCCCAUAGAGUAAAUCUAGUAAGAUCCCUGAAAGAAGAUCAGGUAGAUAGGCCAGAGGUGUAAGGACAGUAAUGUUCUAAGCUGACUGGUACUAAUAGAUCGAGGAUUUGAUCUG